AAUCGAAGCAGUGAACUUAAGCCCCAGUAAACGGCGGCCGUAACUAUAACGGUCCUAAGGUAGCGAAAUUCCUUGUCGGGUAAGUUCCGACCCGCACGAAAGGCGUAACGAUUUGGGCACUGUCUCAACAACAGACUCGGUGAAAUUGUAAUUCCGGUGAAGAUGCCGGAUACCUGCGACAGGACGGAAAGACCCCAUGGAGCUUUACUGUAGCUUGACAUUG
This 223-nucleotide ribosomal RNA is filed under the name Clostridioides difficile. RNAcentral's name for it is "partial 23S ribosomal RNA". It matches the Rfam family "Bacterial large subunit ribosomal RNA", at positions 1897 to 2119 of the family's 2925-position model. The record is from RNAcentral. Lineage: Bacteria; Bacillati; Bacillota; Clostridia; Peptostreptococcales; Peptostreptococcaceae.